Molecule: unclassified non-coding RNA, 431 nt
Filed under: uncultured Galerina
Lineage: Eukaryota; Fungi; Basidiomycota; Agaricomycetes; Agaricales; Cortinariaceae
Description: sequence contains ITS2
Rfam family: 5.8S ribosomal RNA (bases 1-155)
Source: RNAcentral
AACUUAUGGCAAUGGAUCUCUUGGCUCUCGCAUCGAUGAAGAACGCAACGAAAUGCGAUAAGUAAUGUGAAUUGCAGAUUUUCAGUGAAUCAUCGAAUCUUUGAACGCACCUUGCGCUCCUUGGUAUUCCGAGGAGCAUGCCUGUUUGAGUGUCAUUAAAUUCUCAACCUUAUCAGCUAUUGUUGAUAAUGGCUUGGAUGUGGGGGUUUCUUUGCUGGCUUCUUAACGAGUUCAGCUCCCCUUAAAAGUAUUAGCUGGUUGCGUUGUGCAGACUGUCUAUUGGUGUGAUAAUUAUCUACGCCGUGGACUUUUCUGCUAGUAUUUUAGCACCGCUUCUAACUGUCUGUUGACUCGGACAAUAUAUAUGACAAUUUGACCUCAAAUCAGGUAGGACUACCCGCUGAACUUAAGCAUAUCAAUAAGCGGAGGCU